GAACGCGGGCGGCGUGCUUAACACAUGCAAGUCGAACGUGAUUUUUGUGGAAAUUCUUUCGGGAAUGGAAAUGAAAUGAAAGUGGCGAACGGGUGAGUAACACGUGAGCAACCUACCUUACACAGGGGGAUAGCCGUUGGAAACGACGAUUAAUACCGCAUGAGACCACAGAAUCGCAUGAUAUAGGGGUCAAAGAUUUAUCGGUGUAAGAAGGGCUCGCGUCUGAUUAGCUAGUUGGAAGGGUAAAGGCCUACCAAGGCGACGAUCAGUAGCCGGUCUGAGAGGAUGAACGGCCACAUUGGAACUGAGACACGGUCCAAACUCCUACGGGAGGCAGCAGUGGGGAAUAUUGCACAAAUGGGGGGAAACCCUGAUGCAAGCGACGCCCGCCGUGAAGCGAAGAAAGGUUU
RNAcentral lists this ribosomal RNA (410 nucleotides) under Parvimonas micra. RNAcentral's name for it is "bacterial SSU rRNA". It matches the Rfam family "Bacterial small subunit ribosomal RNA", at positions 31 to 418 of the family's 1533-position model. The record is from RNAcentral. Lineage: Bacteria; Bacillati; Bacillota; Tissierellia; Tissierellales; Peptoniphilaceae.